RNAcentral lists this ribosomal RNA (3219 nucleotides) under Triticum aestivum (bread wheat). RNAcentral describes it as "partial small subunit ribosomal RNA". Lineage: Eukaryota; Viridiplantae; Streptophyta; Magnoliopsida; Poales; Poaceae. The record is from RNAcentral.
AUGCGACUAGUCAUGGAGAACUCCCCUCUCCUACGCUUCAUCUCACUCACUGUCCCACUAGCCAUGUUUCUCCAGGCCAUGGCAGUGCCGUCUCUCCAAGAACAAGCAGGAGCCCUCCUUGCCUGGAAAGACACACUAGAAAGCCACCCUGCCCAGCUUCAAUUCUGGGGAAUGGGAAACAACACUAACUGGCCCUGCAGCUGGUACGGCAUCGAGUGCAGCAAGUACCAGGCAACGCACCAAGAGGUGAUCACCAAGAUCUCUCUACGUGGGCUGCGGCUGAGAGGGGAGCUCGACGCCCUCAACUUCACGGCGUUGGCGACCCUGACGAGCAUCCAACUCUCGCACAACAGGCUCACCGGGAGGAUCCCUCCCGGCAUUGUGUCACUCAGAGAGCUCCGGUUCCUGCUUCUUCAACGCAAUCAGAUAAGGGGCCCUUUAUCACCUGCUUUAGCAUCCUUGAAAAACCUACGGUGCUUAAUGCUCCAGGAGAAUAAACUCUCUGGUGAAAUACCAAGGCAAAUAGGAGAACUAGAGAAUCUUGUUUCGCUUAACUUAUCUGCCAAUCACUUGUCUGGUCCCAUCCCCAGUGAAAUAGGGUACCUAAAGAAGCUUGUCUGGUUAGGUCUUGUCAACAACAACCUCAUAGGCCCUAUUCCAAGAACUUUAGGGAAUCUCACUAAACUCACCAUCUUGUACCUUGGAGGAAAUUAUUUAUGUGGAUAUCUUCCUCCAGAACUAGGUUACCUGCUAAAUUUACGAGAGAUGUCCCUUAAUGUAAAUGAACUCAUGGGUUCCAUCCCUAAUACCUUUGGGAGUCUAAAUAACCUCACUCACUUGUAUCUCUGGGAGAACAAACUUUUUGGGCCUAUUCCUCCAGAACUAGGUUACCUGGUGAAUUUAGAAGGGUUGGAUCUUAGCAUCAACAAACUCUUUGGUUCUAUCCCUAAUACCUUUGGGAAUUUGGUUAAACUCACUAGCUUGCACCUAAGGGAUAACCAUCUUUCUGGAUUUAUUCCUCCAGAACUAGGCUACUUGGUGAAACUAGAAGAUCUGGUUAUUAGCAAUAACACAAUCAUGGGUUCCAUCCCGGAUACCUUUGGAAAUUUGACUAAGCUCACUACCUUGCAACUCAGUGAUAAUCAAUUGUUUGGACAUAUCCCUCGAGAAAUCGGCAACUUAACAAAUCUUGAGAAACUCGAGCUCUCCAAUAACUACCUCUCCGGUCCUCUGCCACCCAAUUUGUGCAUCAGUGGCCAGCUAAAGAAUUUAACUGCAGAAGAUAAUUACCUGAAUGGAUCUUUGCCAUCAAGCUUGUUAAACUGUACAAGCCUGGUCAGAGUUCGUCUUGAAAUGAAUCAACUAGAAGGAGAUAUUUCUGCGAUGGGAGCUCAUCCAAAUCUAGUGUACAUAGAUAUGAGAUCAAACAAAUUAUUUGGUCAAUUAUCUUAUAAAUGGGGGGAGUGUCGUAAACUUAACAAACUAAGUAUCUCAAACAACAACAUCACGGGUAAAAUACCCACAAGUAUGGGGCAGCUGUUUGGACUAAGGAUACUUGAUCUUUCAUCAAACAAGCUUGAAGGGGAGCUUCCAAGAGAACUUGGCAAUCUUAAAAAGUUAUUCCACCUGAACCUCGCAGACAAUUCGCUCCAUGGAAGCAUACCACAAGAAUUUUGGGCAUUGUCCAGUCUGGAGUUUUUAGAUUUGUCAUCAAAUUACCUAAGCGGUUUGGUACAAGGAUCAAUUGAGAAUUGUUUAAUGCUUCGCUCAUUUAAUUUGAGACAAAAUAACUUCAGAGGAAGCAUCCCUUCCAUGUUAGGGGUGUUGCACAACUUAAUGGACAAGUUGGAUUUAAGUGAAAAUUCAUUUAGUGGGGCAAUACCAAGCCAACUUAGUAGUCUAACCAUGCUAGAAACUUUGAAUCUUUCAAACAAUGAACUUAGUGGCUUGAUCCCAUCGUCAUUUAAGAGAAUGGAAAGCCUGACAUUGAUUGAUUUAUCUUAUAAUGAAUUAGAAGGGCCAGUACCAGAGAGUAAACUCUUCCGAGGAGCUCCAAUCCAAUGGUUCAUGCAUAAUAAGAUGAUAUGUGGUGUUGUGAAAGGAUUGCCCCCUUGUAGUAGUCCAACCCAGAAUGGAGGGAAGAUGAAAGGAUACAAAACACUUGCACUAGCCAUGGUUACUACUACGAUAUGUCUUGUUCUUGUUGUAUAUAUAUUGGUGUUCCGACAUGAGAGGAACAAAUCAAAGUCAAUUGUCAAUUCUAGAGUUACACAAGAAAAAGUAUUCUCUAUUUGGAGUUUUGAUGGGGCAAAUGUGUUCAAGCAAAUUGUGGAAGCAACCAACAAUUUUAGUGAGACCCAUUGCAUUGGAACAGGGGGAUAUGGAUCUGUCUACAAAGCUAGAGUUUCAGCAUGUGAAAUAUUUGCGGUGAAGAAGAUACACACGAUACAAGAUGACUGUUGUGUGAACGAGGCAAUGUUCAAUUCUGAAAUAGAGGCAUUGGUGCGGAUUCGACAUCGAAACAUCGUCAAACUAUUUGGGUAUUGUUCCUCUAGACAAGGAAGGUUCCUUAUCUAUGAAUAUAUGGAUAGAGGUGACUUAGCGGAAAUAUUGAGAUCCAAUGCAAGAGCAAUCGAGUUAGACUGGAGAAGGCGGAUACAUAUUGUACUGGACGUGGUUCAUGCUUUGGCAUACAUGCAUCAUGAUUGUUCGUCACCAAUAGUCCACAGAGAUAUAACGAGCAACAACAUUUUGCUUGAUCUGGAAUAUCGAGCUUGCAUUUCGGACUUCGGUACUGCUAAAAUUCUCGAUAUUGAUGGCCAGAAUAUUACAAGGCUUGCAGGGACAAAAGGCUAUCUUGCCCCAGAGCUAGCAUAUACAGACAAUGUGACAGAGAAAUGUGAUCUAUAUAGCUUUGGAGUGCUUGUUUUGGAGUUAUUUGCAGGAUGCCAUCCAGGUGAUUUGCUCUCAUCCCUCUCAUUGAGAACCAAAAAUAAUGAUGUUUACUUAAAGGAUCUGCUGGACUUGAGGCUCGUGCUACCAGAUGCCGCAACCACUAGAGAAAUAUACUCCAUGCUCAGGGUUGCAGUUCAAUGCCUUGAGCCGAGUCCAUCACGCAGACCAACGGCACGGCAUGCCAGUGACGAGUUAUCAACGAUUAAAGCAUGUGCAAAUCAUAUUGAUUUUAUACAUGCUAGGCUCAUCAUUCCUACACAGUAG